GAACGCCUUCGUCUAGUCAUUGAACAAAUAUUUGUUGAAGAUUUGUUAUGUGCCAAGAAUUCUUCUGCAAGGAACGAUGGGGUUUUGUAGUACCCUAUUUAGUCACGUGCUAUUCAACAGAUGUCACUGAUGCUGAGCGAUGUGGAUGCUAUGUUGUACGGCAUUUCUUCCCCAUCCUAUGGAGCUCUAACAGAGGCAUUGACAUUAGCAAAAU
This 214-nucleotide long non-coding RNA is filed under the name Cricetulus griseus (Chinese hamster). RNAcentral's name for it is "lncRNA (ENSCGRG00000024500.1)". The record is from RNAcentral. Lineage: Eukaryota; Metazoa; Chordata; Mammalia; Rodentia; Cricetidae.